AGGACCAUCUCCUAAGGCUAAAUACUCUCUAGUGACCGAUAGUGAACCAGUACCGUGAGGGAAAGGUGAAAAGCACCCCGGAAGGGGAGUGAAACAGAACCUGAAACCGUGUGCUUACAAGUAGUCAGAGCCCGUUAAUGGGUGAUGGCGUGCCUUUUGUAGAAUGAACCGGCGAGUUACGAUUUGAUGCAAGGUUAAGCAGUAAAUGUGGAGCCGUAGCGAAAGCGAGUCUGAAUAGGGCGUUUAGUAUUUGGUCGUAGACCCGAAACCAGGUGAUCUACCCUUGGUCAGGUUGAAGUUCAGGUAACACUGAAUGGAGGACCGAACCGACUUACGUUGAAAAGUGAGCGGAUGAACUGAGGGUAGCGGAGAAAUUCCAAUCGAACCUGGAGAUAGCUGGUUCUCUCCGAAAUAGCUUUAGGGCUAGCCUCAAGUGAUGAUUAUUGGAGGUAGAGCACUGUUUGGACGAGGGGCCCCUCUCGGGUUACCGAAUUCAGACAAACUCCGAAUGCCAAUUAAUUUAACUUGGGAGUCAGAACAUGGGUGAUAAGGUCCGUGUUCGAAAGGGAAACAGCCCAGACCACCAGCUAAGGUCCCAAAAUAUAUGUUAAGUGGAAAAGGAUGUGGCGUUGCCCAGACAACUAGGAUGUUGGCUUAGAAGCAGCCAUCAUUUAAAGAGUGCGUAAUAGCUCACUAGUCGAGUGACACUGCGCCGAAAAUGUACCGGGGCUAAACAUAUUACCGAAGCUGUGGAUUGUCCUUUGGACAAUGGUAGGAGAGCGUUCUAAGGGCGUUGAAGCAUGAUCGUAAGGACAUGUGGAGCGCUUAGAAGUGAGAAUGCCGGUGUGAGUAGCGAAAGACGGGUGAGAAUCCCGUCCACCGAUU
This is a ribosomal RNA of 885 nucleotides. It matches the Rfam family "Bacterial large subunit ribosomal RNA", at positions 449 to 1342 of the family's 2925-position model.